UUAUUAUUUUUUGAGACAAGGUCUUGUUCUGUUGCUCAGGCUGGAGGGCAAUGGUGCAAUCUGGGCCCACUGCAACCUUGGCCUCCUGGGCUCAAGUGAUCCUCCUAUCUUAGCCUCCCUAAGUAGCUGGGACCGCAGGCAUGAGCCACCACGCCUGGCAUAUAAAACCUCUCCUAGCAGAAAUUAAUUUUUUUAAAAAAGUCUACUUUUAAAGCAGCAGUUAGAAACUUUGUUCUUAUGUAAAUAAUACUGUU
This 254-nucleotide long non-coding RNA is filed under the name Homo sapiens (human). RNAcentral's name for it is "non-protein coding lnc-ZNF445-2:1". The record is from RNAcentral. Lineage: Eukaryota; Metazoa; Chordata; Mammalia; Primates; Hominidae.